AUGGGACAGAGGGAGUACAACAUAAAAACACAUGCCUUCUUUGCUCUCACGCUCUCUCCACUCCCGGCAGAAUCUUCGACUCUACUCCUUGGGGCCAAGAUUGCAAGUCUCCUUCAUUUGCAGCAGAUCACCUUCUUGUCAGGUUCGCUCAACCUCAGCAGGGGCUGCUGCUGGUGUAACAAGCAUCACUUCACUGGAUGUGAGAUGGGAAAUCAGGCCGUUGAUGGCGAACUUUCCCUCUACUAUUGCCCACAUGAACUCUUCCAUGUACCAAUAUUUCUAUUUUCUAGGAGUACAAUAGUGAAGCCCGCAAGUUUGCUCAUCCGGCUCUGA
This 333-nucleotide ribosomal RNA is filed under the name Triticum aestivum (bread wheat). RNAcentral describes it as "partial small subunit ribosomal RNA". Lineage: Eukaryota; Viridiplantae; Streptophyta; Magnoliopsida; Poales; Poaceae. The record is from RNAcentral.